Molecule: non-coding RNA, 202 nt
Organism: Camellia sinensis
Lineage: Eukaryota; Viridiplantae; Streptophyta; Magnoliopsida; Ericales; Theaceae
Source: RefSeq, a predicted model, not a curated record
AUAUAGAGAGAGAGAGAGAGAGAGAGAUAUAGAUAGAGAGUCAGAGAGUGAGAAAGAGGGUGAGAUUGGCCAUGCAUGGAGAGGCAGAUGUGUUCUGUGUGUGUAUGUGUAUGUGUGUUCCGAUGGGCUCUGUUCUCAUCCCCCUCCCCCAUGCACACCACCUUUUUUAUGUUGUUGUCCCCAGGUCAAGAGCUCUCUCCGU